This 253-nucleotide ribosomal RNA is filed under the name uncultured bacterium. Its description in RNAcentral is "partial 16S ribosomal RNA". It matches the Rfam family "Bacterial small subunit ribosomal RNA", at positions 524 to 776 of the family's 1533-position model. The record is from RNAcentral.
UACGUAGGUGGCAAGCGUUGUCCGGAUUUACUGGGCGUAAAGAGCGCGCAGGCGGUCGUUCAAGUCGCGUGUGAAAGCCCCCGGCUCAACUGGGGAGGGUCACGCGAUACUGAUCGACUGGAAGGCAGGAGAGGGUAGUGGAAUUCCCGGUGUAGUGGUGAAAUGCGUAGAUAUCGGGAGGAACACCAGUGGCGAAGGCGGGUCUCUGGGCCGGAACUGACGCUAAGGAGCGAAAGCGUGGGGAGCGAACAGG